Molecule: RNA transcript, 2788 nt
Organism: Eucalyptus grandis
Lineage: Eukaryota; Viridiplantae; Streptophyta; Magnoliopsida; Myrtales; Myrtaceae
Gene name: pentatricopeptide repeat-containing protein CRP1, chloroplastic
Exons: 6
Source: RefSeq, a predicted model, not a curated record
UGUGCAGCUACAGGGUAAACACCUCUUUACUCUUUCUCAUCGGCUCCCCUUCCGAGCUCUAAAGCUCUCCUGAUUCGCGACUCUCAUGUCGUCUUCCAUCUCUCAAUCUCCCUCGCGAUUCUCGUCCGACGGCUUCGCUCCUUCAUCCUCCUUCCCUCCCGCCUCUCUCCGUCGGCGAUUCAACAAUCUCACCCUCCCCGCUUCGCUUCUCCUCUCGCCCUCACGCAGCGCCCCCAAGGUGCUCGCCGCUUUGCCUCACGGAACCGUCCCUACCUCGACCAGCAGCGAUCGCUCCAACGGUUUCGUCACCGGGGAGGAGCCUUCUCCCGAGUCGUUCAAUCGCUCCAUCCGCGACUGCUGCCGAGCUGGAGACGUCGACGGGGCCAUGAGCUCGCUUUCCCGAAUGGAGGCGCUGGGGUGUAGGCCCAGCUUCGCGUCUUACGCUUGUUUGAUGGAGACUCUCGGGAACUGCGGUCGGACCUUGGAAGCAGAGUCUUUGCUUCUAGAGAUGCUGAGCCUGGGGUUUCGGCCCGGCGCGAGGUUGUUCAAUAUUCUCCUUCGAGGGUUCUUGAGGAAAGGGUCGUUAGGGCUCGCUAACAUAGUCUUAGCCGCCAUGGAGGACUUGAACGUCCGGAGAGAUCGUGAGAGUUAUGAGAUUCUUUUGGGUUAUUACGUUAAUGCGGGGCGUCUGGAGGAUACUUGGUCUCUUGUUAAUGAGAUGAGGCUUAGAGGUUUCCAGCUGUCUUCUUUUAUUUAUGGGAAGGUCAUUGGUCUUUACCGGGACAACGGGAUGUGGAAGAAGGGGAUGGGCAUCGUUAGAGAGAUAAGGGAGAUGGGAAUGGUGCUCGAUAAGCAUAUUUAUAAUGCUGUUAUCGAUACUUUUGGUAAGCAUGGAGAAUUGGGUGAGGCUCUGGAGGUUUUCGAAAGGAUGAAACAGGAGGGCGUGAGACCAGAUGUCAUGACUUGGAAUUCUUUGAUCAGGUGGCAUUGUAAGGCUGGUGAUCUCUCCAGUGCUCUCGAGUUGUUCAGUGAGAUGCAAGAACAGGGGUUGUACCCUGAUCCCAAGAUUUUCAGUACCUUAAUUAGCCGGCUAGCUGAGGAAGGGAAGUGGGACUUGUUAGAGAAAAAUUUUGAGAGUAUGAGGUGCAGGGGAUAUGGAGAAAGCGGGACUAUAUAUGCAGUACUGGUUGAUAUAUUUGGGCACUAUGGGAAAUAUCGGGAUGCUGAAGAAUGUGUUUCUGCUCUCAAGUCUGAAGGUCUACAGCUUUCAGCUAGUUUGUGCUGUGUGUUAGCAAAUGCUUAUGCUCAACAGGGACUAUGUGAAGAUACGGUUAAAGUGCUUCAGCUUAUGGAAGCAGAAGGAAUUGAACCAAAUGUUGUAAUGCUAAAUGUGUUGAUUAAUGCGUUCAGUGUUGCUGGAAGACACAUGGAGGCUCUUUCUAUUUACCACCUUAUGAAAGAAAGUGGUAUCUUUCCUGACGUGGUUACCUAUUCUACGCUUAUGAAGGCAUAUAUCAGAGCUCGGAAAUUUGACAAGCUGGAGUGUCUACUGAGGGAUAAUAGCCUUCUUGUUAUGGUGUCUCGUCAUCUUCUAUCUUGGUGCAUUUAGGUUCCUGCGAUAUACAAGGAAAUGGAGGCCAGCGGAUGCUCUCCAGAUCGGAAGGCCAGAGUUAUGUUAGAAACUGCGUUGAUGGAACUCAAACAGAAGCACUGACUUAUAUUUGUGUGAAGAUAAAUGAUGUUUUUGCCUAAUGCUUUGAUGUCUGAUCUCUCUGGAAACAUGACUGCGAGCGAAAUUAUUGAAGCCUAAUACAUGCCUGAUCCAGGUCAGAGAGAAUGUCUAAGGGCAUGCAUUCCAUAAUUGGCACUUGGCAGUAGUGCCUUUCUCAGCGAAAUAGUAUUUGGGUCACUGCUGUUUGGGUCUGGAUGGAGCAUUGCAGUUCCCUAUGUGCACAUAUUGCUCAAUGGGCUGAGAAGAAAUUGAAGUGAAUCAACUUGAAGAAUGUUGGAUCAGAUGUUCUAUAUGGGGGAAGUGGUUGCAGGGAGGAAUGAUAUGGGUGCACUCAUGAAAAUGUAUUCAGCUGGUCAUGGUCUCUGACAGCACUGUCAUUUGAAGGGUCACAUUGACAGCAUCCAAUAUCAUGACCAGGAAGUAGCUACUGGGUCAACUUAAUUUGACCUUACUCUGUACAGUACUGCUGUAGAUAAUUUUAAUUGACGCAAUCUUCUGCAACCAGGAAGGCAAUCCCAACUUGCGAGAUUAUUGAUCUCGAGACAGUUGCGAUGAAAGUGUCUUUCGAGUGAAAUUGCAAGCUGGAAGAUGUUGAAAGGCUAAUCAGAAAUAGAAAGACUCAGCAAUAGUCAUGGCUUCUCCAUCUCCUCUCAACCAAUCAUCGGUAUCAUCACCUAUAACAAGAGACUGAAACAAGGAAGAAGGCACGGCCUUAAAUUUCAAGACGUGAAGACUUCAUCAGGUGGAAAAUUUCAUGACAAUGCCCAUACCUUGUUUGUGUGACCUGAUUAACAACGAUAGACAAAUUAGCAUUGGGCUAUCUGAAUGAUAGUGAACUUUGUUGAGUCUAACGAGGUCGUGCACGCAGCGAGAGUGUUUCCUUAUUCCAGUCUGUUAGCGAUGCUUAGUCUCUCUGGAGCUUGUUUGUGAAAAUAUUGCUAAUCUAGUUUGCAUUACUUGUCUUUAGGAGGUGAUCAUAGAUUCAUUUUUAUGAUCUUUUGGACUAGUUUCCCUGCUUCUGCUUCAUUCACGGUAAAUGAUGCUGGACUGUCAUGA